AGUGAACGCUGGCGGUAGGCCUAACACAUGCAAGUCGAACGGCAGCACAGUAAGAGCUUGCUCUUACGGGUGGCGAGUGGCGGACGGGUGAGGAAUACAUCGGAAUCUACUUUUUCGUGGGGGAUAACGUAGGGAAACUUACGCUAAUACCGCAUACGACCUACGGGUGAAAGCAGGGGAUCUUCGGACCUUGCGCGAUUGAAUGAGCCGAUGUCGGAUUAGCUAGUUGGCGGGGUAAAGGCCCACCAAGGCGACGAUCCGUAGCUGGUCGGAGAGGAUGAUCACCCCAACGGGAGGUGAGCCAGGGUCACGCCCACUACGGGAGGCACCAGAGGGGAAUGUCUGACAACGGGGGCAAGCAUGAUCCAGCCCGACCGCGUGGGAGACGAAGGCCCUCGGCUUGUAAAGCCCUUCUGUUGGGAAAGAAAAGCAGCCGGCUGAUACCUCGCUGUUCUGACGGUACCCAAAGAAUAAGCACCGGCUAACUUCGUG
Molecule: ribosomal RNA, 492 nt
Filed under: uncultured bacterium
Lineage: Bacteria
Description: partial 16S ribosomal RNA
Rfam family: Bacterial small subunit ribosomal RNA
Source: RNAcentral